GUUAUAUAUAAAUCUACAGGCUCCCGACAACAUCAUCACGAGCUCUUUCUCUUGAAACAUUCAGCCUCAUGUCCCCUCAAAACCAAAAAUCCUUUCUUUAGAAAAUGCAAACUUUCUAUUUUCUUCUAAAUGCACCAAAAACCAAAACUCAAUAAUCACCACCUUCCGACGUGCAAACAGAAAAAUGGUCCAAAUGUGUAAAUUUUCAUAAUUAAUCCAACCACCUGGAUCUCAGAUCUACAAGGAAGCAACUACUCAUAUGACACAGCAGCAAGCAGCCAGUUGAAUGCUAAACCUUCCAAUUAUUUUUGAGGAGCAGCUCAAUCACCUCCAGCUACUCUGGACCUGACAGACAGAAUCCUAUCCCUUGCUCGUCAACACCCGGUAGUUGAGGAUAAGGUCUUCAGGUUUCUUCCAUAUAUAUGCACGGACAGUCGCUAAGCUCAUAUCAGGGGAUAAGACCUGGUUACUGCACAAUAUCUCUAUGGAUGGUUUAAGCUUUUGCCAAGGCUUCAGCCCAGUCCGAAAUAUGCCAUCUCCUCCAUUAGCUGGGUGUGUCACCUGUCCACCAGACACUCCAGCAGCUCCAUCUGAGUUUAGGCUAUCCAGUGGCUUAUCAAGAACCAUCUUUUCUAUAACAUAGUUGACGACUUUGUGAAUUCUUAAUAUGCGAGGCGCACUCAGCUUUCCCUGGGUAAGGAUCUGAACAGUAGAACCCUCGCAUGGAUGUAAGUAGAAGCUACAUUUGGUAUUUUCCCUGGGAGGCAACCGAUUGUUCAUCACACAAUCCACUACCCACCAUGGCAUGUCCUUUUCAUCUUCUGUUCCAUCUAAGUCGGUAAUCUUUUUCCUCCAUGGACCACUUUGAGAACCCUCAGUAAUAAUUGAUGGAGGGCAUGCUGCUGAAAAUUCAAAGGGAGGAUAUACUGCAGCAUCAUUGUCAGCACUACCGUCCACUUCAAUUUUUGACGCGGUCAGAUUCCUUGUAGGUACAUCCUUUGGCCAAUGGGGAAGCCCCAGCUGGA
This 1025-nucleotide unclassified non-coding RNA is filed under the name Hevea brasiliensis (rubber tree). Lineage: Eukaryota; Viridiplantae; Streptophyta; Magnoliopsida; Malpighiales; Euphorbiaceae. The record is from RNAcentral.